CCUUCGAUAGCUCAGUUGGUAGAGCGGUGGACUGUAGAGAGCGCUGCGAGCGAUACACAUAGAUAUCCAUAGGUCGCUGGUUCAAAUCCGGCUCGAAGGA
Molecule: transfer RNA, 100 nt
Filed under: Musca domestica (house fly)
Lineage: Eukaryota; Metazoa; Arthropoda; Insecta; Diptera; Muscidae
Rfam family: tRNA
About the family: Transfer RNA (tRNA) molecules are approximately 80 nucleotides in length.
Source: Rfam by way of RNAcentral